AGCUCGCUCUUCCGAGACGUUUUACCGGAGACCGAAUUUAUAAUUCCAGCGGCUGGGGGACCCGGAGAGCGCCGCUUUUGUCGCGCACCUUAACACGGAACAGCUGGUCGGUAGGCGAUGGCCGGUGAUGCAGUGCAACGGAUGUGUCCCCUGAGGCCUUGCGCUUGCGUGAGGCGGGGUUCUGGCCUUGGUGUGAGGUCUCAGGAAUACCAUUCGCCGCUGCACCAGGAAGAUAAUAUGCAUCCAUUGGUGGUGAGGGUUCCUGAACGGAAGAAAAGGAAGAAAGUUUUCCAUAGACCCUUAAUAAAUCAAUAAGCCAA
Ictalurus punctatus (channel catfish) is the source of this 320-nucleotide long non-coding RNA. RefSeq lists it as uncharacterized. The transcript has 2 exons. The record is from RefSeq and is a predicted model, not a curated record. NCBI's taxonomy places the organism in Eukaryota, Metazoa, Chordata, Actinopteri, Siluriformes, Ictaluridae.